RNAcentral lists this ribosomal RNA (253 nucleotides) under uncultured bacterium. Its description in RNAcentral is "partial 16S ribosomal RNA". It matches the Rfam family "Bacterial small subunit ribosomal RNA", at positions 524 to 776 of the family's 1533-position model. The record is from RNAcentral.
UACGUAGGGUGCGAGCGUUAAUCGGAAUUACUGGGCGUAAAGCGUGCGCAGGCGGUUUUGUAAGCCAGAUGUGAAAUCCCCGGGCUCAACCUGGGAAUGGCAUUUGGGACUGCAAGGCUGGAGUGCGGCAGAGGAGACUGGAAUUCCUGGUGUAGCAGUGAAAUGCGUAGAGAUGUGGAGGAACACCGAUGGCGAAGGCAGCCCCCUGGGUCAAGACUGACGCUCAUGCACGAAAGCGUGGGGAGCAAACAGG